ACGGAAGUAGAUCAGUUGAUAGAGCAUUAGCCUUCCAAGCUGAGGGUCGCGGGUUUGAGCCCCGUCUUCCGCUCUA
Molecule: transfer RNA, 76 nt
Filed under: Bacteroides sp. 3_1_33FAA
Lineage: Bacteria; Pseudomonadati; Bacteroidota; Bacteroidia; Bacteroidales; Bacteroidaceae
Description: tRNA-Gly
Rfam family: tRNA
About the family: Transfer RNA (tRNA) molecules are approximately 80 nucleotides in length. Their secondary structure includes four short double-helical elements and three loops (D, anti-codon, and T loops).
Source: RNAcentral